CCUACGGGGGGCAGCAGUGGGGAAUAUUGCACAAUGGGCGCAAGCCUGAUGCAGCCAUGCCGCGUGUAUGAAGAAGGCCUUCGGGUUGUAAAGUACUUUCAGCGGGGAGGAAGGGAGUAAAGUUAAUACCUUUGCUCAUUGACGUUACCCGCAGAAGAAGCACCGGCUAACUCCGUGCCAGCAGCCGCGGUAAUACGGAGGGUGCAAGCGUUAAUCGGAAUUACUGGGCGUAAAGCGCACGCAGGCGGUUUGUUAAGUCAGAUGUGAAAUCCCCGGGCUCAACCUGGGAACUGCAUCUGAUACUGGCAAGCUUGAGUCUCGUAGAGGGGGGUAGAAUUCCAGGUGUAGCGGUGAAAUGCGUAGAGAUCUGGAGGAAUACCGGUGGCGAAGGCGGCCCCCUGGACGAAGACUGACGCUCAGGUGCGAAAGCGUGGGGAGCAAACAGGAUUAGAUACCCUUGUAGUC
This 465-nucleotide ribosomal RNA is filed under the name Pseudomonas aeruginosa. RNAcentral's name for it is "partial 16S ribosomal RNA". It matches the Rfam family "Bacterial small subunit ribosomal RNA", at positions 338 to 795 of the family's 1533-position model. RNAcentral also lists the same sequence under 1 other name. Lineage: Bacteria; Pseudomonadati; Pseudomonadota; Gammaproteobacteria; Pseudomonadales; Pseudomonadaceae. The record is from RNAcentral.